Non-coding RNA from Heterocephalus glaber (naked mole-rat), 505 nucleotides. The record is from RefSeq and is a predicted model, not a curated record. Lineage: Eukaryota; Metazoa; Chordata; Mammalia; Rodentia; Bathyergidae.
CAGGCUGGCCUUCACUGGUAGCAAUCCUCCUGCCUCAGCCUCCUGAGUGCUUCGGUGACAGCCGUGCUCCACCAAGCUAAAGAAAGCUCUGUUCUUCAGCCUGCAUCUGAAAGCUGUCAGCAGCAUCUGCAGUUCCUCUCCGCUUGAAACUGUCAGCUCAGUCUUCUCACGCCCUGCACUUCCUGGCCUGGGCCCAACGGUGCCUGCUGAAUUAGUACAGUGGUGUCUCACGUGUCUCCUGGGUUCUGGCCCCAACCCACCUAAGAUCAGGUCCUCCUAUGUAGCCCAGGUUGGCCUCCAACUCAAGAUCCUACUGCCUCAGCCUCUUGGGUGUUGGGAUUACAGGUGUGCGCCACCACGCGAGGCUGAUGACUUCAAUUCUUGGAACAAGGCACCAAGCCCACCGUUCGGGCCCAGAGUCCUCUCACAGCGGUGGAGCCCAGGAGCUCAGGGCAGGACCGCAGCACCCCACGGCCAGAUCCCAGGAAGCCUUACCGGCCGUCCA